RNAcentral lists this ribosomal RNA (443 nucleotides) under uncultured bacterium. RNAcentral's name for it is "SSU rRNA". It matches the Rfam family "Bacterial small subunit ribosomal RNA", at positions 26 to 518 of the family's 1533-position model. The record is from RNAcentral.
AGAGCGAACGCUGGCGGCAGGCUUAACACAUGCAAGUCGAGCGCCCCGCAAGGGGAGCGGCAGACGGGAGAGUAACACGUGGGAACGUACCCUUUGGUUCGGAACAACCCAGGGAAACUUGGGCUAAUACCGGAUAAGUCCGUAAGGAGAAAGAUUUAUCGCCAAUGGAUCGGCCCGCGUCUGAUUAGCUAGUUGGUGAGGUAAUGGCUCACCAAGGCGACGAUCAGUAGCUGGUCUGAGAGGAUGAUCAGCCUCACUGGGACUGAGACACGGCCCAGACUCCUACGGGAGGCAGCAGUGGGGAAUAUUGGACAAUGGGCGCAAGCCUGAUCCAGCCAUGCCGCGUGGGUGAUGAAGGCCCUAGGGUUGUAAAGCCCUUUCGGCGGGAAGAUAAUGACGGUACCCGCAGAAGAAGCCCCGGCUAACUUCGUGCCAGCAGCCGC